GCCCAAGUAGCUCAGGGGUAGAGCGCAUCCUUGGUAAGUAUGAGGUCACGGGUUCAAUCCCCGUCUUGGGCU
RNAcentral lists this transfer RNA (72 nucleotides) under Blastocatellia bacterium. RNAcentral's name for it is "tRNA-Thr". It matches the Rfam family "tRNA". From Rfam's summary of the family: Transfer RNA (tRNA) molecules are approximately 80 nucleotides in length. Their secondary structure includes four short double-helical elements and three loops (D, anti-codon, and T loops). Further hydrogen bonds mediate the characteristic L-shaped molecular structure. tRNAs have two regions of fundamental functional importance: the anti-codon, which is responsible for specific mRNA codon recognition, and the 3' end, to which the tRNAs corresponding amino acid is attached (by aminoacyl-tRNA synthetases). tRNAs cope with the degeneracy of the genetic code in two manners: having more than one tRNA (with a specific anti-codon) for a particular amino acid; and 'wobble' base-pairing, i.e. permitting non-standard base-pairing at the 3rd anti-codon position. The record is from RNAcentral. Lineage: Bacteria; Pseudomonadati; Acidobacteriota; Blastocatellia.